UAGGGAAUCUUCGGCAAUGGACGGAAGUCUGACCGAGCAACGCCGCGUGAGUGAAGAAGGUUUUCGGAUCGUAAAGCUCUGUUGUUAGAGAAGAACGUUGGUAGGAGUGGAAAAUCUACCAAGUGACGGUAACUAACCAGAAAGGGACGGCUAACUACGUGCCAGCAGCCGCGGUAAUACGUAGGUCCCGAGCGUUGUCCGGAUUUAUUGGGCGUAAAGCGAGCGCAGGCGGUUCUUUAAGUCUGAAGUUAAAGGCAGUGGCUUAACCAUUGUACGCUUUGGAAACUGGAGGACAUGAGUGCAGAAGGGGAGAGUGGAAUUCCAUGUGUAGCGGUGAAAUGCGUAGAUAUAUGGAGGAACACCGGUGGCGAAAGCGGCUCUCUGGUCUGUAGCUGACGCUGAGGCUCGAAAGCGUGGGGAGCAAACAGG
RNAcentral lists this ribosomal RNA (429 nucleotides) under Bacillota bacterium. RNAcentral's name for it is "Firmicutes bacterium partial 16S ribosomal RNA". It matches the Rfam family "Bacterial small subunit ribosomal RNA", at positions 355 to 776 of the family's 1533-position model. The record is from RNAcentral. Lineage: Bacteria; Bacillati; Bacillota.